GUGCUCGCUUCAGCAGCACAUAUACUAAAAUUAGAACGAUACAGAAAAGAUUAGCAUGGCCCCUGUGCAAGGAUGACACGCAAAUUUGUGAAGCGUUCCACGUUUUU
Otolemur garnettii (small-eared galago) is the source of this 107-nucleotide small nuclear RNA. The record is from Ensembl. Lineage: Eukaryota; Metazoa; Chordata; Mammalia; Primates; Galagidae.